GAUGAACGCUGGCGGCGUGCCUAAUACAUGCAAGUCGAGCGAACAGACGAGGAGCUUGCUCCUCUGACGUUAGCGGCGGACGGGUGAGUAACACGUGGAUAACCUACCUAUAAGACUGGGAUAACUUCGGGAAACCGGAGCUAAUACCGGAUAAUAUAUUGAACCGCAUGGUUCAAUAGUGAAAGACGGUUUUGCUGUCACUUAUAGAUGGAUCCGCGCCGCAUUAGCUAGUUGGUAAGGUAACGGCUUACCAAGGCGACGAUGCGUAGCCGACCUGAGAGGGUGAUCGGCCACACUGGAACUGAGACACGGUCCAGACUCCUACGGGAGGCAGCAGUAGGGAAUCUUGCGAAAUGGGCGAAAGCCUGACGGAGCAACGCCGCGUGAGUGAUGAAGGUCUUCGGAUCGUAAAACUCUGUUAUUAGGGAAGAACAAAUGUGUAAGUAACUAUGCACGUCUUGACGGUACCUAAUCAGAAAGCCACGGCUAACUACGUG
This 497-nucleotide ribosomal RNA is filed under the name uncultured bacterium. RNAcentral's name for it is "partial 16S ribosomal RNA". It matches the Rfam family "Bacterial small subunit ribosomal RNA", at positions 28 to 507 of the family's 1533-position model. The record is from RNAcentral.